This 497-nucleotide ribosomal RNA is filed under the name uncultured bacterium. RNAcentral describes it as "partial 16S ribosomal RNA". It matches the Rfam family "Bacterial small subunit ribosomal RNA", at positions 28 to 507 of the family's 1533-position model. The record is from RNAcentral.
GAUGAACGCUGGCGGCGUGCCUAAUACAUGCAAGUCGAGCGAACAGAUAAGGAGCUUGCUCCUUUGACGUUAGCGGCGGACGGGUGAGUAACACGUGGGUAACCUACCUAUAAGACUGGGAUAACUUCGUGAAACCGGAGCUAAUACCGGAUAAUAUUUCGAACCGCAUGGUUCGAUAGUGAAAGAUGGUUUUGCUAUCACUUAUAGAUGGACCCGCGCCGGAUUAGCUAUUUGGUAAGGUAACGGCUUACCAAGGCUACGAUACGUAGCUGACCUGAGAGGAUGUACGGCCACACUGGAAAUGAGACACGGUCCAGACUCCUACGGGAGGCAGCAGUAGGGAAUCUUCCGCAAUGGGCGAAAGCCUAACGGAGCAACGCCGCGUGAGUGAUGAGGGUCUUCGGAUCGUAAAACUCUGUUAUUAGGGAAGAACAUAAGUGUAAGUAACUGUGCACGUCUUGACGGUACCUAAUCAGAAAGCCACGGCUAACUACGUG